AGGGCCUUAGUGAACUACUUACUGAACUGUAGGUUCAUGAGACUUAACUAAAUAAUAGCAAUAACUAUGUAUAAUAAAAUUAAUGUAAAAAAUUAUUUACAAAAAGUAAUUGAAAUUAAACAAUGUAAUCACUAAUUAUAUCAUGAAAACUAAAUAAUAAUAUUUGUUUUAAUAAAGUCCUAAUUAUUUUGGAUGGUUUGAUUUAUUUAAUAACUUAAGAAAAAAAACAAAUAUAAAUAUUCAAAUAGUAGUGUUAUU
Molecule: long non-coding RNA, 258 nt
Filed under: Brassica rapa (field mustard)
Lineage: Eukaryota; Viridiplantae; Streptophyta; Magnoliopsida; Brassicales; Brassicaceae
Description: long non-coding RNA (BRAP_LNC003609)
Source: RNAcentral